Molecule: ribosomal RNA, 560 nt
Filed under: Pseudomonas aeruginosa
Lineage: Bacteria; Pseudomonadati; Pseudomonadota; Gammaproteobacteria; Pseudomonadales; Pseudomonadaceae
Description: bacterial SSU rRNA
Rfam family: Bacterial small subunit ribosomal RNA
Source: RNAcentral
GAAUCUGCCUGGUAGUGGGGGAUAACGUCCGGAAACGGGCGCUAAUACCGCAUACGUCCUGAGGGAGAAAGUGGGGGAUCUUCGGACCUCACGCUAUCAGAUGAGCCUAGGUCGGAUUAGCUAGUUGGUGGGGUAAAGGCCUACCAAGGCGACGAUCCGUAACUGGUCUGAGAGGAUGAUCAGUCACACUGGAACUGAGACACGGUCCAGACUCCUACGGGAGGCAGCAGUGGGGAAUAUUGGACAAUGGGCGAAAGCCUGAUCCAGCCAUGCCGCGUGUGUGAAGAAGGUCUUCGGAUUGUAAAGCACUUUAAGUUGGAGGGAAGGGCAGUAAGUUAAUACCUUGCUGUUUUGACGUUACCAACAGAAUAAGCACCGGCUAACUUCGUGCCAGCAGCCGCGGUAAUACGAAGGGUGCAAGCGUUAAUCGGAAUUACUGGGCGUAAAGCGCGCGUAGGUGGUUCAGCAAUGUGGAUGUGAAAUCCCCGGGCUCAACCUGGGAACUGCAUCCAAAACUACUGAGCUAGAGUACGGUAGAGGGUGGUGGAAUUUCCUGUGUA